ACGCUCGACACCUACGGGAGGCAGCAGUCGGGAAUAUUGCGCAAUGGAGGAAACUCUGACGCAGUGACGCCGCGUGCAGGAAGAAGGUUUUCGGAUUGUAAACUGCUUUAGACAGGGAAGAAGAAGUGACAGUACCUGUAGAAUAAGCUCCGGCUAACUACGUGCCGGCAGCCGCGGUAAUCUGAGCGGNUGGCAAGGC
Molecule: ribosomal RNA, 199 nt
Filed under: uncultured bacterium
Lineage: Bacteria
Description: partial 16S ribosomal RNA
Rfam family: Bacterial small subunit ribosomal RNA
Source: RNAcentral